RNAcentral lists this ribosomal RNA (465 nucleotides) under uncultured bacterium. RNAcentral's name for it is "partial 16S ribosomal RNA". It matches the Rfam family "Bacterial small subunit ribosomal RNA", at positions 28 to 507 of the family's 1533-position model. The record is from RNAcentral.
GACGAACGCUGGCGGCGUGCUUAACACAUGCAAGUCGUACGGUAAGGCCCUUUCGGGGGUACACGAGUGGCGCACGGGUGAGUAACACGUGAGUAACCUGCCCACAACUUUGGGAUAACGCUAGGAAACUGGUGCUAAUACUGGAUAUGUGCUCCUGCUGCAUGGUGGGGGUUGGAAAGCUCCGGCGGUUGUGGAUGGACUCGCGGCCUAUCAGCUUGUUGGUGGGGUAGUGGCCUACCAAGGCGGCGACGGGUAGCCGGCCUGAGAGGGUGACCGGCCAAAAUGGGACUGAGAUACGGCCCAGACUCCUACGGGAGGCAGCAGGGGGGAAUAUUGCACAAUGGGCGCAAGCCUGAUGCAGCAACGCCGCGUGCGGGAUGACGGCCUUCGGGUUGGAAACCGCUUUCAGCAGGGACGAAGCUUUUUGUGACGGUACCUGCAGAAGAAGCACCGGCUAACUACGUG